This 443-nucleotide ribosomal RNA is filed under the name uncultured bacterium. RNAcentral describes it as "partial 16S ribosomal RNA". It matches the Rfam family "Bacterial small subunit ribosomal RNA", at positions 338 to 795 of the family's 1533-position model. The record is from RNAcentral.
CCUACGGGUGGCAGCAGUGGGGAAUAUUGGGCAAUGGAGGCAACUCUGACCCAGCAAUGCCGCGUGAGUGAUGAAGGUAAUUCUAUUGUAAAGCUCUUUUCUUUGGAACGAAUAAAUGACGGUACCAAAGGAAUAAGCCCUGGCUAACUACGAGGCAGCAGCUGCGUCAAUACGUAGGGGGACAGCGUUGUUCGGAAUGAAUGGGCGUAACGGGUGUGUAGGUGGUUGGAUAAGUUAGAUGUGUAAUAGCCAGGGCUUAACUCGGGUGCUGCAUCUAAAACUGUUAGCCUUGAGUACUGGAGAGGUUAGUGGAAUGCCUAGUGUAGCGGUGGAAUGCGUAGAUAUUAGGAGGAACAUCAGUGGCGAAGGCGGCUAUCUGGACAGCAACUGACACUGAGGCACGAAAGCGUGGGGAGCGAACAGGAUUAGAUACCCCUGUAGUC